AGAGAGAGACAUGCGCGCAUAUCAAUAAGCGGAGGAAAAGAAACUAACUAGGAUUCCCCUAGUAACGGCGAGUGAAGCGGGAAGAGCUCAAAUUUGAAAUCUUAAAGGGUUUCCCUUGACGAAUUGUAGUUUAAAGAAGUGUUUUCUGUUGGAGUUUUGGUAAAGUUCUUUGGAAUAGGACAUCAUAGAGGGUGAGAAUCCCGUAUUUGACCUUUACUUUCAACUUUGUGAUACACUUUCAAAGAGUCGGAUUGUUUGGGAAUGCAGUCCAAAAUGGGUGGUAAAUUUCAUCUAAAGCUAAAUAUUGGCGAGAGACCGAUAGCGAACAAGUACCGUGAGGGAAAGAUGAAAAGAACUUUGAGAAGAGAGUUAAACAGUACGUGAAAUUGUCAAAAGGGAAGCGUUUGACACCAGUGUUGUUUUUCUGAAAAUCAAUUAAAGAACUGUUUAUGCUAAGCUGUUUAGACUUUAUCAGCUAACUGUUUAGUUUUGAGCUUUUCUUUAAUGCACUUUUCAGUUAACAAGUCAACAUCAAUUUCUUUUGCUGUAAAAAAGCUUGAGGAAGGUGGCUUGAGAUUCGUCUUAAGUGUUUAUAGCCUCUUGCCUAUGCAGUCGGAGAGAUUGAGGUCUGCAGCGUAGAUCCUUCGGGGCUAAAUGCAUUUGUGCUAAGUUAUAGCAUUUUAUAGACAACUUGUUGACUAUGAUUUGUCUUGUAGCUUACUCGCUUAUGUUAUUUUACCUACGCUUAGGAUGUUGAGCGCAUGUCUCUCCU
RNAcentral lists this ribosomal RNA (772 nucleotides) under uncultured Neocallimastigales. RNAcentral describes it as "partial large subunit ribosomal RNA". It matches the Rfam family "Eukaryotic large subunit ribosomal RNA", at positions 23 to 617 of the family's 3401-position model. Lineage: Eukaryota; Fungi; Neocallimastigomycota; Neocallimastigomycetes; Neocallimastigales. The record is from RNAcentral.